RNAcentral lists this small nuclear RNA (91 nucleotides) under Sciurus vulgaris (Eurasian red squirrel). Lineage: Eukaryota; Metazoa; Chordata; Mammalia; Rodentia; Sciuridae. The record is from RNAcentral.
GGGCUUGCUGGGGCAGCACAUAUACUAAAAUUGGAACGAUUCAGAGAAGAUUAGCAUCCCCUGCAUAAAUUGUGAAGCAUUCCACAUUUAC